UUCKYUAMCACAUGCAAGUCGAACGAAAGAUUGUAGUAAUACCGGUCUUAGUGGCGAACGGGUGAGUAACGCGUGGGUGACCUGCCCCGAAGUGUAGGAUAACAGUCCGAAAGGAUUGCUAAUACUGCAUAACAUCCAGGAGAUUAGAACCUGCUGGAUUAAAGGAAUUUUCGCUUCGGGAGGGGCCUGCGUCCCAUCAGCUAGUUGGUAAGGUAAUGGCUUACCAAGGCGAUGACGGGUAGGGGACCUGAGAGGGUGGCCCCCCACAAUGGAACUGAAACACGGUCCAUACACCUACGGGUGGCAGCAGUAGGGAAAUAUUAGUAAUGGGCGAAAGCCUGAACUAGCAACGCCGCGUGUGCGAAGAAGGCCUUCGGGUUGUAAAGCACUUUUUGAGAGGACGAGGAAGGGCGGUACUCUCAGAAUAAGUCUCGGCUAACUACCGUGCCAGCAGCCGCGGUAAYAMGGGGNAUUUGUUUAACCNUCAGNCNNGNCCUUUGAGG
Molecule: ribosomal RNA, 503 nt
Filed under: uncultured bacterium
Lineage: Bacteria
Description: partial 16S ribosomal RNA
Rfam family: Bacterial small subunit ribosomal RNA
Source: RNAcentral